GCAGGGGUCGCCUAGCCUGGUCAAUGGCGCCAGCUUCAGAAGCUGGUAGGUUAGUCCUUACGUGAGUUCAAAUCUCACCCUCUGCA
RNAcentral lists this transfer RNA (86 nucleotides) under archaeon. Its description in RNAcentral is "tRNA-Leu". It matches the Rfam family "tRNA". From Rfam's summary of the family: Transfer RNA (tRNA) molecules are approximately 80 nucleotides in length. The record is from RNAcentral.